RNAcentral lists this ribosomal RNA (253 nucleotides) under uncultured bacterium. Its description in RNAcentral is "partial 16S ribosomal RNA". It matches the Rfam family "Bacterial small subunit ribosomal RNA", at positions 524 to 776 of the family's 1533-position model. The record is from RNAcentral.
UACGUAGGUGGCAAGCGUUGUCCGGAAUUAUUGGGCGUAAAGCGCGCGCAGGCGGUUCUUUAAGUCUGAUGUGAAAGCCCACGGCUCAACCGUGGAGGGUCAUUGGAAACUGGAGAACUUGAGUACAGAAGAGGAAAGCGGAAUUCCACGUGUAGCGGUGAAAUGCGUGGAGAUGUGGAGGAACACCAGUGGCGAAGGCGACUCUUUGGUCUGUAACUGACGCUGAGGCGCGAAAGCGUGGGGAGCAAACAGG